GAGGGGGUAAAGGGUGUCCUGCUGGUCUAGUGGGUCCACCAACUCAGUCCAAGUCUUCUCCACACAUCUCUCAUCCUCCGGAGAACUGCCUCAAGAGAGGACUAUCAAACACUCUCCAGAUUGUUGAGACCUAACUUCAUGAAGUACAUACUGAAGAACAAGGAAGACAUGGCAGGGUCAAGGGCAGCAUCCCUGGACCAGCCCCAUCCUCCUCACAGCAACCUUGCAAGGAAACCUGUCUUAUUCCCAAGAUAAUAAGCAUCCUUAAAAAAAAAGUAUGCAAGGAUA
This is a long non-coding RNA of Suricata suricatta (meerkat), 288 nucleotides long. RefSeq lists it as uncharacterized. The transcript has 4 exons. The record is from RefSeq and is a predicted model, not a curated record. NCBI's taxonomy places the organism in Eukaryota, Metazoa, Chordata, Mammalia, Carnivora, Herpestidae.